UUAAGUUCAGCGGGUAGUCCUACCUGAUUUGAGGUCAAUAUUGUCAAUACAAAGUAAAGUUUAGAAAGCAGCAUUAACCCCAUUCCAGCAGAUGUCUAGGAUGUAGAUAAUUAUCACACCUGUAGACAGUUCCACCAAGGUACCGCUAAUCAAUUUCAGGGAAGCAGACUACAGAAGCCCACAAAAAAAUUUAUCCCCAA
This 200-nucleotide unclassified non-coding RNA is filed under the name Inocybe sp. Its description in RNAcentral is "partial internal transcribed spacer 2". Lineage: Eukaryota; Fungi; Basidiomycota; Agaricomycetes; Agaricales; Inocybaceae. The record is from RNAcentral.